This is a long non-coding RNA of Lolium perenne, 4517 nucleotides long. RefSeq lists it as uncharacterized. NCBI's taxonomy places the organism in Eukaryota, Viridiplantae, Streptophyta, Magnoliopsida, Poales, Poaceae. The record is from RefSeq and is a predicted model, not a curated record.
UUCCUCCACUAUCCGCCUCUCCUGUCUCUGUUUUUCCCCUUCUUACAUCCAUCCAUCGGGUUGCAAACGAGCAAGGAAGCGGAUGCGGGCACGAUGACGGGCUCCAUCCACAAAGUCCCUGUCGACACCUUCACCAUCCUCCCCCUGUUCUAAGCUGCUGCCUAUCCCAAAAUCUUCCCCGCCGGAUCUCUCCACUGCCGUGAGCGCCCCCUGGCCGGCGGCCGUGGCGUCGGUCGGGUCCUCCUCUGUCUCCGAGGCUCUCCUGCCGUCCCUUGCUCUGGCUUCUCCCAUACAUCUCCUCACCUGGACGGCGGUCCGCGACCUGCUGGUUGGUUUGCUGUGUGGGCACUGGAUGACCAGCAGCAUCGCCGCCUGCUCUGAGUCUGGGGGCGCGGCGUUGUGUGGCCGCUGCCCGCAUCACCCGGACGACGGCCAGGCGAGGUGGUGUGCACUGCAGAAGACCGUGGCUGAACCGGUGUACUGGUACCGGUAUGUGUAUCACUGCUAGGACAAUUCAGAUAAUUCGCGUAGCUAAUACUUGCUGGGAUAAGGAUGGUCAAAGCAUUGAGGCCCAGCGAGUUGCAGAGCUCCUCAUGUGCUAUUUUCCUUUACAAUGGUUUACUAUAGAUGUGUGGAGAAUAAUUAUUUAUAUGACAUUCAUUAUUGAUCCACAACAUAUCUGAUUUUAUAGAUUCCAUUAUUUAAGUUGAAUAUGGUUCAAAAAAACUAUGUCUAUCCUAUACUUAGCUGUUGUAAAUUUGAUUAUGUUCUUUUUGCAUGUUGUGGUGUCGUAUUUUAGACGACACCGAAUAUUUAACUUCCAUCAUUUAAACGUGUUAACAAUAUAUUGUAUCCAGUUCCGUGCUAAGAAAAAAAUUAAGUACAUGUGGAUAUAUUUUCUAUUAAACCCGCUGAGCAUUAUUGUAUCUGUAUCACUAUUUUUGUAUGCAAGUUCUAUGCUAGGAAAAAAAAGUCUUCAUUACAGGUGGGCAUACUUGCUCUACUUCAAGAUAGCUUUCCAUUUCUCAUCCAAGUUACUUUGUUAACUCAUCUGUAGCUGAACUGUUUGGGAGAAGCAAAAGAGUGUAGUCCUUGGAAUUUUGAUUGUCGGUUUACUCAAAGGACUUAAUUCCUAAGUGUUUUCAUGCCUUAGAACACUAAAUGCAUCAUGUUCUCACAUAUGACUUAUUUGUUCAAACCAACUUAGUUGUAGCAAAUUAGUGGAAAGGGAUACAUUUACCUCAGAUAAGUUUUUUUCAGAAUCCAUUGCUAUUCUUGCUAUCCGGAGUAGCAACAUGUUAUCAAAAUAAUUUUUCGGGUGGAAGCUCUAGCUUUGUGUCCUCAAGAACAACAUAAUACUUGCAAAAAUUAGGCAAAAACAUCUCAGUACUGGUAGGUACAAACUAAUAUGUCAGCUCCCCCUGUACGCCUCUUUUCGUGGAUCAAAAGGAAGUUCUAAAUUUCCUGUUUUCGUUAGCUAGACAAAAGUAUAUUGUUUCAACAAAUAGCAAUUGAUAAAAAGUCUCUCUUUUUUGGUCAAAUAAAUUUCUAAGUUCACCGAGUUAUUGUUUCUUUGGUUGCAUUCAAAACCUGAAGUUCUAUGGUUUGACCUGCCUUUGGAUAUGCAAACAGCCUUCCUCAGAAUUAUGUCAAAGCAUCUGAAAAGACAGAGAUCAAAAGACUUGACAACUUACAUAAGAAUUAGGUUUGGUCAUAUAGGCCGCCAGGUAUAUAUUAUAAAGAACAUCUUUACUCUAAUUUCCCUUUUUUUAAAUAACCGUUGUUCGAUCAACUCACUACCCCACCUUUAUGUCCGCAUGGUUCAGUCUUAGGUGCUGCAACUGAGUGCUGCUGCCAAAUCUGCUGUUGGCCAUCUACUUGCUCUGUCCUGGUUAUACCGUAACCGGGAUAGAUAGAAAUUAUACAGCGCAGGAAAUGUCCUACACUGUGCUAUUUGUCACAAGUGAUGCUAUUGGGUAAUAUCUAUCCUGGUUAUAACUUCAGAUAUGCUUACACAAUUGCCUAUAACUUAGAGAUUCAGUUAACUUGCAAUUGCCUGUGUAUAUAUACGUUUUUAUGUUCAGUUACUUUAACUACUCUGUCCAAAAAUGUGAUACUUUAGUCCUCUCCUUUUAUAGCUCUUACUUUGCAUGGAACUUUGCAGUUAUCCUCGCUGUCUCUUCCAUCAGGUGUUAUAGUUUGAAUCAACCAUAUCGUGCCAUAUCAUCUAUUUUGCUUACUGAGCUAUGCAAUCUUUAUUCAUAUAAUUAAAAUGGAGGGUUGUGUGCCAAGAAACCAUAAUCGACCUGUCCAGUCGAUAUAUGCAUCAUCCCUGAAGCACGAAGAAAGACCCAAUAAUUUAUUCUGCAUCCUGCCAAUUUUUCAGUGUUACUACAAUACAUAACCAUUUGCACCUCUGGCAGCACACGUUGGGAGAUAAUACUCUUCUUUCAGGGUACUUAUCUAACAUGACAUACGAUUUAUUAUCUAUUUCAUUUGCAUUCUUUGAUUAUUGCAUACUGUAUUUCAUUGCCAUUUUUGAUAAUUUCUCUAGACUAUAGAAAAAACCAUACUUGCAAAGUUAUAAUAGCAGCUAAAUGUAUACUCAUUGUCCACAGUGCAGGAAAUGAGAAGAAAACUUCAACUGAACUAUUCCCAGCUAAAUAGAUCACUGCAUCUGGCCACGUAAAUUUGUUGGGACAGAUUUCAACUGAACGGUAUAGGCUGCAGUAGAUCAAAUAGCAUUAAUUCCAUCCUCUUUCCCUUGCAGCAAAUAUAAUUAAUCUAGAUCAACUGAACUCCAGCUAAAGGUCAAACAGGCAAGAGCCCAAAUUGAUGAACCAAGUAGUUUAUGUGAAAACAUAUAUUUUGUCUCAAGGCGUGCCCACAAAUCGUGGUGUAAAAUAUUAGUCACCUAUCUGCCGCUUUAGCUGGGUAUGAAUAGCACACAACUAAUGUAUUUGUUCAUGCCCUAGCUGUGCCAAAGAGGGAAACAAUCAUCAUCUUCUUUUCUGACGAGGACAGUGACACAAGGCACAGACAGGUAGCAGAGCUGGAGAAUAGCUAGAUCACCUUCCUUAUGUUAUCGUAGUGUAGGUCAGAAAUAUUAGAUAAUCUCCCCUUCCAAUAUAAAUCCAUCUACGAUAUAAUCCAGUAAACAAGCGUCCUCUGGCUUACUAUUGCUAUAAACUAAUGUGUGUCCCAUAUAUGCAUUAGCAUUGUUAAUGUUUUUACUUAUAUCAUCUGCUUAUAUGACCUCUGCAAUAAGUUCAAAUUGUACAAAAUAUGCACACUAAAAAAAUGUAGCACAAUGGGUGCGGCGUGCCGCCACGCCAUAAAGAUGCAGUUUGGUUCAAUGGAUUGUAAGAGCUCAUUGAACUCGCAUAUACGGAUUGUUUUGAGCUACAUUAUUUUUGUCUUCUUGCUCAAAGGUCAAAAAUGUUUCUUAUUUUAGAUUUGUCUUAUUUCGAUAAUUUAUCAGCCAGUAUUUGCAAGAGUUGCUCACUAUGCUCUGGAUCAGCCAAGGUAGUUAUGUAAUGAAUAAACUUUUAUUCGUCCAAGCCCUUAUGAUGAUGCUCUUAAAUUUAAAUGCAGCAAUUAGUUCCAUAUUUAGUGGAAGUGUAUUUUUGAAUGAUCCUCACAACUGAUGUUGAUCAAGCAGUAGCAGAGUUAGCAUCUUAAAUUUUUUAUUCUACAAAUAGGAAACACAGUCUCAGUAUCUUUGAUUUUGUUCAGAAAAAUAGCUGAAGAUUAAUGUAUGCCUAUUUUGUAACAUAUAGAAGUUCCUCUCGCUGCCAAAUUUACGGACCUUUAUUUGUUUGGGCCUCCUGAGGAAACGGUCGUCCAAAAAAAGGAUCUUUAUUUGUUUGGGCCUCGUGAGGAAACUGUCGUCUGAAAAGAGGUGUCGCUGCUUGUGUCAAGUGUACAAAUUGUUGAGCCGAUUGUCCAUGCCAAUGUUGUCUUGCGAGGAGUGGAUUGUUCAGCUGUAGGUCAGGAUAAUGUUGGCAUCCCUGCUCCUGAAGCCCCAAAGCAUGUUCCAGGUCCUGCUGAGACAUCAACUCCGUCACUAUCCAUGGAUCUCACGCCACAGACUGCAGGCAACAUAUUCAGCUUCCGUUAUUGAUGAGACUGCCUCUGACGCCAUUGGGAGAAUGAAGCGCAACAAUCCCGGUGAUGGUGAGCACCCAGGUCGAAGAAAGGGUUACAUUUUUCGGAUGCUGAUGACUAGGUUCCUGGGCACGUGUUCGUGAGCUUAACGUGAACAGCAUGGUGGUUCUAUUGUCAGCGAUUUUGUUUAUGCUUGUGUUUUUACUGUCUACAAGCUACUAUUUGGUUGGUGUAUGCAACAAGGUUGCUUCGCUAUGGCCCCCGGUUCUGUUGUUCAAGGCCCAUAUGUUUGGGCCCCGAGUCCUCUUCUAUCUUUGUACAUCUUAGGACACUUAACUCAUAACACUAGCGAUGCCAAGAAGUUGAUAUUCCAUUUGAUCGAAACUCUGAAACAUGAAGAGUUUGUCAAA